This 552-nucleotide ribosomal RNA is filed under the name uncultured bacterium. RNAcentral describes it as "bacterial SSU rRNA". It matches the Rfam family "Bacterial small subunit ribosomal RNA", at positions 353 to 917 of the family's 1533-position model. The record is from RNAcentral.
AGUGGGGAAUAUUGCGCAAUGGAGGAAACUCUGACGCAGCAACGCCGCGUGGGUGAUGAAGGACUUCGGUUCGUAAAGCCCUGUUGGGAGGGACGAAAUAAAUGACGGUACCUCUAAAGAAAGCACCGGCUAACUCCGUGCCAGCAGCCGCGGUAAUACGGAGGGUGCAAACGUUGUUCGGAAUCAUUGGGCGUAAAGGGCGCGUAGGCGGCUUGACAGGUCGGAUGUGAAAUCCCCAGGGCUCAACCUUGGAAUUGCGUUCGAAACCGGCGAGCUUGAGUUCCGGAGGGAGAAGUGGAAUUCCUGGUGUAGGGGUGAAAUCCGUAGAUAUCAGGAGGAACACCGGUGGCGAAGGCGACUUCUUGGCCGAGGACUGACGCUGAGGCGCGAAAGCGUGGGGAGCAAACAGGAUUAGAUACCCUGGUAGUCCACGCCGUAAACGAUGUUCACUAGGUGAUGGUGGUAUUGACCCCGUCAUUGCCGCAGCUAACGCAUUAAGUGAACCGCCUGGGGAGUACGGUCGCAAGAUUAAAACUCAAAGGAAUUGACGGG